GACCUGCAUCGUGUACCCGAAUGACAUUGAGCAAAUAUGAAAAACAGGAUAGGCUAACGAAUAUGGCAUCUUACAGCGGAGUGUUAUUGUAAUCAUGAACUGAAGAAUGAAAAGGUAAAGUAAAGC
Molecule: long non-coding RNA, 126 nt
Organism: Beta vulgaris subsp. vulgaris (sugar beet)
Lineage: Eukaryota; Viridiplantae; Streptophyta; Magnoliopsida; Caryophyllales; Amaranthaceae
Exons: 2
Source: RefSeq, a predicted model, not a curated record